CAGCAGCCGCGGUAAUACGUAGGGUGCGAGCGUUAAUCGGAAUUACUGGGCGUAAAGCGUGCGCAGGCGGUUUUGUAAGACAGGCGUGAAAUCCCCGGGCUCAACCUGGGAAUGGCGCUUGUAACUGCAAAGCUAGAGUGCGGCAGAGGGGGAUGGAAUUCCGCGUGUAGCAGUGAAAUGCGUAGAUAUGCGGAGGAACACCGAUGGCGAAGGCAAUCCCCUGGGCCAAUACUGACGCUCAUGCACGAAAGCGUGGGGAGCAAACAGGAUUAGAUACCCGCGUAGUCCUGUCUCUUAUACA
This 301-nucleotide ribosomal RNA is filed under the name uncultured bacterium. RNAcentral's name for it is "partial 16S ribosomal RNA". It matches the Rfam family "Bacterial small subunit ribosomal RNA", at positions 509 to 809 of the family's 1533-position model. The record is from RNAcentral.